This 69-nucleotide transfer RNA is filed under the name Kogia breviceps (pygmy sperm whale). Its description in RNAcentral is "transfer RNA-Trp". The record is from RNAcentral. Lineage: Eukaryota; Metazoa; Chordata; Mammalia; Artiodactyla; Physeteridae.
AGGAGUUUAGGCUAAAUCCAGACCAAGAGCCUUCAAAGCUCUAAGCAAGUACAACUCACUUAACUCCUG